RNAcentral lists this ribosomal RNA (465 nucleotides) under uncultured bacterium. RNAcentral's name for it is "partial 16S ribosomal RNA". It matches the Rfam family "Bacterial small subunit ribosomal RNA", at positions 28 to 507 of the family's 1533-position model. The record is from RNAcentral.
GACGAACGCUGGCGGCGUGCUUAACACAUGCAAGUCGAACGGAAAGGCCCCUUUGGGGGUACUCGAGUGGCGAACGGGCGCGUAACACGUGAGUAACCUGCCCUUGACUUCGGGAUAACUUCAGGAAACUGGGGCUAAUACCGGAUAGGAAUCCUUGCCGCAUGGUGGGGGUUGGAAAGCUUCGGCGGUUUUGGAUGGACUCGCGGCUUAUCAGCUUGUUGGUGGGGUAGUGGCUUACCAAGGCUUUGACGGGUAGCCGGCCUGAGAGGGCGACCGGCCACAUUGGGACUGAGAUACGGCCCAGACUCCUACGGGAGGCAGCAGUGGGGAAUAUUGCCCAAUGGGCGGAAGCCUGAUGCAGCAACGCCGCGUGCGGGAUGACGGCCUUCGGGUUGUAAACCGCUUUCAGCAGGGGCGAAGCUUGUGGUGACGGUACCUGCAGAAGAAGCACCGGCUAACUACGUG